Molecule: unclassified non-coding RNA, 412 nt
Filed under: soil metagenome
Description: partial contains 5.8S ribosomal RNA, internal transcribed spacer 2, and large subunit ribosomal RNA
Rfam family: 5.8S ribosomal RNA (bases 1-122)
Source: RNAcentral
GAUGAAGAACGUAGUGAAAUGCGAUACUUGGUGUGAAUUGCAGAAUCCCGUGAACCAUCGAGUCUUUGAACGCAAGUUGCGCCCGAAGCCGUCAGGCCGAGGGCACGCCUGCCUGGGCGUCACACGCCGUUGCCCCCCCGCGCCCCGCACCCAACUCUUUGGGAGCGACCGCGGGGCGGGCUGAUGAUGGCCUCCCGUGCGCUCCGCCGCGCGGUUGGCCCAAAUACCGAGUCCCCGGCGACGUGCGCCACGACGAUCGGUGGUUGAGAGACCUCUGUCGCAAGUCGUGCGCGCCCGUCGCGUCACGCGGGCUCGCAUAGCGCCUCGCGCCGCACCCGGUGCGGAGCUUUCAACGCGACCCCAGGUCAGGCGGGGUUACCCGCUGAAUUUAAGCAUAUCAAUAAGCGGAGGA